This 481-nucleotide ribosomal RNA is filed under the name uncultured bacterium. RNAcentral describes it as "partial 16S ribosomal RNA". It matches the Rfam family "Bacterial small subunit ribosomal RNA", at positions 28 to 507 of the family's 1533-position model. The record is from RNAcentral.
GAUGAACGCUGGCGGCGUGCUUAACACAUGCAAGUCGAACGAAGCACUUUAUUUGAUUUCCUUCGGGACUGAUUAUUUUGUGACUGAGUGGCGGACGGGUGAGUAACGCGUGGGUAACCUGCCUUGUACAGGGGGAUAACAGUUGGAAACGGCUGCUAAUACCGCAUAAGCGCACAGCAUCGCAUGAUGCAGUGUGAAAAACUCCGGUGGUAUAAGAUGGACCCGCGUUGGAUUAGCUAGUUGGUGAGGUAACGGCCCACCAAGGCGACGAUCCAUAGCCGACCUGAGAGUGUGACCGGCCACAUUGGGACUGAGACACGGCCCAAACUCCUACGGGAGGCAGCAGUGGGGAAUAUUGUACAAUGGGCGAAAGCCUGAUGCAGCGACGCCGCGUGAGCGAAGAAGUAUUUCGGUAUGUAAAGCUCUAUCAGCAGGGAAGAUAAUGACGGUACCUGACUAAGAAGCACCGGCUAAAUACGUG